CAGUCGCCGCGGUAAUACGUAGGGUGCGAGCGUUAAUCGGAAUUACUGGGCGUAAAGCGUGCGCAGGCGGUUAUGCAAGACAGAUGUGAAAUCCCCGGGCUCAACCUGGGAACUGCAUUUGUGACUGCAUGGCUGGAGUGCGGCAGAGGGGGAUGGAAUUCCGCGUGUAGCAGUGAAAUGCGUAGAUAUGCGGAGGAACACCGAUGGCGAAGGCAAUCCCCUGGGCCUGCACUGACGCUCAUGCACGAAAGCGUGGGGAGCAAACAGGAUUAGAUACCCCUGUAGUCCCUGUCUCUUAUAC
RNAcentral lists this ribosomal RNA (301 nucleotides) under uncultured bacterium. RNAcentral's name for it is "partial 16S ribosomal RNA". It matches the Rfam family "Bacterial small subunit ribosomal RNA", at positions 509 to 807 of the family's 1533-position model. The record is from RNAcentral.